Molecule: ribosomal RNA, 253 nt
Filed under: uncultured bacterium
Lineage: Bacteria
Description: partial 16S ribosomal RNA
Rfam family: Bacterial small subunit ribosomal RNA
Source: RNAcentral
UACGUAGGGGGCAAGCGUUGUCCGGAUUUAUUGGGCGUAAAGAGCGUGUAGGCGGCCGUACAGGUCAGCUGUGAAAACUCGAGGCUCAACCUCGAGACGUCGGUUGAAACCGUACGGCUAGAGUCCGGAAGAGGAGAGUGGAAUUCCCGGUGUAGCGGUGAAAUGCGCAGAUAUCAGGAGGAACACCUGUGGUGUAGACAGCUUACUGGACCAUUUCUGACGCUGAGACACGAAAGCGUGGGUAGCAAACAGG